GAUGAAGAACGUAGCGAAAUGCGAGACGUAAUGUGAAUUGCAGAAUUCAGUGAAUCAUCGAGUCUUUGAACGCACAUUGCGCCCCCUGGUAUUCCGGGGGGCAUGCCUGUCCGAGCGUCAUUGCUGCCCUCAAGCACGGCUUGUGUGUUGGGCCUCCGUCCUCCUCCCGGGGGACGGGCCCGAAAGGCAGCGGCGGCACCGCGUCCGGUCCUCGAGCGUAUGGGGCUUCGUCACCCGCUCUUGUAGGCCCGGCCGGCGCUUGCCGACACAUCAAUCUUUUUUCCAGGUUGACCUCGGAUCAGGUAGGGAUACCCGCUGAACUUAAGCAUAUCAAUAAGCGGAGGA
This 345-nucleotide unclassified non-coding RNA is filed under the name soil metagenome. RNAcentral's name for it is "partial contains 5.8S ribosomal RNA, internal transcribed spacer 2, and large subunit ribosomal RNA". The stretch from base 1 to 120 matches the Rfam family "5.8S ribosomal RNA", at positions 35 to 154 of the family's 154-position model. The record is from RNAcentral.